UACGUAGGAGGCGAGCGUUGUCCGGAUUUACUGGGCGUAAAGCGCGCGCAGGCGGCAUACCAAGUACGGUGUGAAAUCUCCCUGCUCAACGGGGAGUAUGCAUUGUAAACUGGUAAGCUAGAGGACGGUAGAGGGGGGUAGAAUUGCUGGUGUAGCGGUGAAAUGCGUAGAGAUCAGCAGGAAUACCCGUGGCGAAGGCGGCCCCCUGGGCCGAACCUGACGCUGAGGCGCGAAGGCUAGGGGAGCGAACGGG
Molecule: ribosomal RNA, 253 nt
Filed under: uncultured bacterium
Lineage: Bacteria
Description: partial 16S ribosomal RNA
Rfam family: Bacterial small subunit ribosomal RNA
Source: RNAcentral